This 484-nucleotide ribosomal RNA is filed under the name uncultured bacterium. RNAcentral's name for it is "partial 16S ribosomal RNA". It matches the Rfam family "Bacterial small subunit ribosomal RNA", at positions 30 to 507 of the family's 1533-position model. The record is from RNAcentral.
AUUGAACGCUGGCGGCAGGCCUAACACAUGCAAGUCGAGCGGAUGAAGGGAGCUUGCUCCUGGAUUCAGCGGCGGACGGGUGAGUAAUGCCUAGGAAUCUGCCUGGUAGUGGGGGAUAACGUCCGGAAACGGGCGCUAAUACCGCAUACGUCCUGAGGGAGAAAGUGGGGGAUCUUCGGACCUCACGCUAUCAGAUGAGCCUAGGUCGGAUUAGCUAGUUGGUGGGGUAAAGGCCUACCAAGGCGACGAUCCGUAACUGGUCUGAGAGGAUGAUCAGUCACACUGGAACUGAGACACGGUCCAGACUCCUACGGGAGGCAGCAGUGGGGAAUAUUGGACAAUGGGCGAAAGCCUGAUCCAGCCAUGCCGCGUGUGUGAAGAAGGUCUUCGGAUUGUAAAGCACUUUUAGUUGGGAAGAAGGGCAGUAAGUUAAUACCUUGCUGUUUUGACGUUACCAAAAGAAUAAGCACCGGCUAACUUCGUG